This 497-nucleotide ribosomal RNA is filed under the name uncultured bacterium. Its description in RNAcentral is "partial 16S ribosomal RNA". It matches the Rfam family "Bacterial small subunit ribosomal RNA", at positions 28 to 507 of the family's 1533-position model. The record is from RNAcentral.
GAUGAACGCUGGCGGCGUGCCUAAUACAUGCCAGUCGAGCGAACGGACGAGAAGCUUGCUUCUCUGAUGUUAGCGGCGGACGGGUGAGUAACACGUGGAUAACCUACCUAUACGACUGGGAUAACUUCGGGAAACCGGAGCUAAUACCGGAUGAUAUUUUGAACCGCAUGGUUCAAAAGUGAAAGACGGUCUUGCUGUCACUUACAGAUGGAUCCGCGCUGCAUUAGCUAGUUGGUAAGCUAACGGCUUACCAAGGCAACGAUGCAUAGCCGACCUGAGAGAGUGGUAGCCCGCCCGGGAGCGGAGACAGGGUCAAGACUCCUACGGGAGGCAGCAGACGGGAAUCUUCCGCAAUGGGCGGAAGCCUGACGGAGCAACGCCGCGUGAGUGAUGAAGGUCUUCGGAUCGUAAAACUCUGUUAUUAGGGAAGAACAUAUGUGUAAGUAACUGUGCACAGCUUGACGGUACCUAAUCAGAAAGCCACGGCUAACUACGUG